ACGUGACGGAAGUGGAUGUGCGCGAAUACCAUUGGUUCCCGACGCCUGAUGAGACGUGGAGGAAACGCAGUGAACUGAGGAGUUGUUUGUUCCUUUUAAUUACAAAUAAUACACAGACAGCCAACAGAGAUGGUGACUGAUGUACAGCUGGCCAUUUUCGCCAACAUGCUCGGCGUGUCACUCUUCCUGCUGGUGGUUCUUUACCACUACGUGGCCGUUAACAAUCCGAAGAAACUGGAGUGAAGCUGUAUGCAUGGAAGGUGUUUACCGCUCAGGCCUACGUGGAGUGCUGUCUGAUUUUGUAACGCUGGUGAAGAUCGGGACCAUGAUCGUGAAACGAUGACUUGCCUCGCUGGGAGGACUGUUUAAGCCAGUCUGUAAAUGUCUUUAUUAAAGUUGUUUUGAAUAAAUGCUUCAUGAAACAGUAA
Brienomyrus brachyistius is the source of this 428-nucleotide RNA transcript. It is a transcript of the gene named oligosaccharyltransferase complex subunit 4 (non-catalytic), with no coding region annotated. The transcript has 3 exons. The record is from RefSeq and is a predicted model, not a curated record. NCBI's taxonomy places the organism in Eukaryota, Metazoa, Chordata, Actinopteri, Osteoglossiformes, Mormyridae.